AGUUAAAAAUCUACAAGAGUUUUGUGUGUAUUUGGGGCAACGGCAACGGCUACAAACAGCGCUGGACUUGUAACUAAGUGAAGAGACAAGCAGCAGCUUUUUAUUUGAUUGUCGACAACUGCAGUGGAUAAAGAACAA
Drosophila busckii is the source of this 138-nucleotide long non-coding RNA. RefSeq lists it as uncharacterized. The transcript is spliced from 2 exons. The record is from RefSeq and is a predicted model, not a curated record. NCBI's taxonomy places the organism in Eukaryota, Metazoa, Arthropoda, Insecta, Diptera, Drosophilidae.